CCCACGAAAAAAAACCACGGCAUGCACCAGCGAGCGAGCGAGCGAGGCCUCGACCUCGAGGGAACCACGCCAUCGCACUCGCAUUCCGCCGCCGCCGCUCCCUGCGCUACCUCGACGGAAGCCAUCGCAAAUCCAUCCCUUCGCCGCCGCCCUCGCGCUCGCAUCAAGGAUCGAGGCCUCCAGAGUAUCCUCGAUCCCCGCGUUACCCGUUCGCCGCAGCCGAUCCCGCCGCCGCGGGAGAGAUGAGCUGAUCUCCAUGGCCAGAUGAGGAAGGAAUACGGGUGACGGGAUGGAUUUGGAUCUCAAGUUGGGGAGGCCAACGUAGCCGCCCCUAGCGCGUCGAGCGAAAGCGAAGGAUUUGGAUCUCAUGGAUUUGGCUGCGUCGACCAGCAGAGGACCGCCGCCGGCUCGGCUCCUCCACCACGAAGCGACCUCCUUCCACCCCGUAGCCGCCGCCCGAAACCCUAGCAAUCGAGCCCCACCCAUGGUGCCCUAGGUGGUACAACGGCCAGAGGAGAGGAAGUGGAGCAGCAAUCGCCUGGACGUGAGGUGAGCUUCCCCCAUCCAAUCUUAUCCACCCUCACCCCCGGGUGGCUCACAAUAUCUAUCACCUGCAGCAGCAUCUUGUGCAUGCAUCCAUUGAGGACGUGAGGUGCACACCACAUUUUGGUUCAGUUUUUCCCUUCUUUAUUAUAAUUAUGCCAAGGACAUCUUAUGCCUUACAGUAGUAUUCAAAUUCUCAAGUUUGUUUAUUUAUUUUUAGUGCAAUACUGCUCUCUUGUCUGCAGGAGAUUGGAGGAAAAAAUAUCAAAAAUCGGAGACAUGACGUUUUGGUUCAGUUCUGGAUCAUUUUCUUUUUUGGUUCAGUUUAUAUAAGUGGUUGUUGUUUUAUGUUGCUGCUAGCCAUCAGAAAACGAGUUCACAGUAGGUUUCCAUUUUGUGUUGCUCUGAACUGAAAAAAUAGAGGGGAUGUUGUUAUGCCUAGCGUGAAGUUCACAGUAGGUUUGGCAUCAAUUGAGCAAACUUUGUUACAGUUUUUAGUGGCUGUUGUAUGUAUUACAUUUUUGCUUUUUCUAAAACCACAUGUAUCCUAUAAUCUGAUUGCUUUUCUUUGUCUGAGCAACAGUGUCUGAGCUUUCCCUCCACUAUUUUUUCCUCUCUCUCUCUCUCUCUCUCUCUUUCUCUCUCUCACUCAAUCUCAACUUGGCAAGCGAUGGCGGCGGUGAAUGGGCAGCGCGGGCGUCGAGCAGGAUCAUGGGGGAGCAGGGGAGGCCAGAGGCUGCUCACCAUAUACAUCACCAUCCAUAGCCGCCCUCGUCCGCCAAGAAGCUGAGGAGGGAGGCUAACCUCCAGUGACCACUCUACACCGCUCUGGACGACACCCUCCCCACCAGAUUUAUUCACCUUAUUGGGACGGUGGGGUUAAUAUAUAUACAUCAAUUUUGAGCAUCGGCAACGCAUGAAGCUUGCUUCUGAGGCUGCAACAUGUUUUAUCAGCACAGGUUCAGAGAUAACUUUAAUGAGUAAACAAAUAAUUUUCAUGCAGGUCAGUUCUGAUGUGUGUUGAAUAGCUCAAUUUUGUUUUGAUCUGCUACGUUUAGUCAUUGUUUGCUCUAGCAUCAACACUAACUGUCACACGCACGCCGCCCCAUGGACGCCCCUGACUGAGGUGCGGGUCGGUGCUUGCCGUCGGUCCAUCCGCAUCGGCGCAGUGGCAUGUACCCCUUGAAAGCUUUGAAGCCUGAAAAAGCCGCAGGACCAGAUCUUCCCAUCAACCUGAAGAUGUGAAGUACGCUGCGUCUCCUGGUAUUUGUGUUGCUUCCGCUGGAUGACGCUCUAUUGUCGUUGUUGCCUCAGCCCUCCCAGUUGUCGUGUUCUUCCCUUCUCUUGCUGCUCGAUGAGAUGACUAGAGCACCUUGUGGUGACUUUGUUCUCUGGGCUGCUCGCGAUGUAGUUCUAGAGCAGCUUCAGCGGCAAGAUGCCAUAGUUUCCUAAUUACUACGAUGAUUUGCUGGAUGAGGAGGUGGGUGU
This is a long non-coding RNA of Triticum aestivum (bread wheat), 2031 nucleotides long. RefSeq lists it as uncharacterized. Lineage: Eukaryota; Viridiplantae; Streptophyta; Magnoliopsida; Poales; Poaceae. The record is from RefSeq and is a predicted model, not a curated record. The transcript has 5 exons.